GUUUCUCUUCAACGUGACUUUACCGAAAAAACGAAGAAUAUAAACAAAAAUAGUUUACGUUUUUUUUUAGUUUAUGGACCUCAAUAUCAAAGCAGCAUUACUGGGAUUGCAGAACCCGGUCUUGUGAUCAAGGCAAGUGUUGACGAGGUUCGGAGGGUUGCGGGAUUUUUUUCGUAGACGGACAACGGUAUCAUUUCCCAGCUAACUCCCUGGCAUUAACAUGGUGCAUUAUCCCAGUAUACUCCAGGUAUCACCAGCCACUGACAAGAGGACACUCUUCAAGCAUCUCCAAGUGUAACCAGACUCGGACGAGGUGACGUUCUGCAGGGCUUUCUGGGCAUUGCCAGACACUGGUGAGGCGAGGUCCUUCAAGCAUUCCCAGUAACCAAGACCUUCUCUCAAGACCCCAUGUCAACCUCCUGCUGCUUAUUUUGCUGCUGCUGCUACUAAAGGUUGGAACUGCCUCCCCGGGUCAUCCAUGCCACCAGGUCCAUGCUCAUGACUUCAUGCUUAUAACCUAAGCUCUCCAAAUCUAAAUAUAAAAUAUACACGUCUCUCCGUGUUCAUCGGUUUCUUGGUU
Non-coding RNA from Petromyzon marinus (sea lamprey), 580 nucleotides. NCBI's taxonomy places the organism in Eukaryota, Metazoa, Chordata, Hyperoartia, Petromyzontiformes, Petromyzontidae. The record is from RefSeq and is a predicted model, not a curated record.